This 497-nucleotide ribosomal RNA is filed under the name uncultured bacterium. RNAcentral's name for it is "partial 16S ribosomal RNA". It matches the Rfam family "Bacterial small subunit ribosomal RNA", at positions 30 to 507 of the family's 1533-position model. The record is from RNAcentral.
AUUGAACGCUGGCGGCAUGCUUUACACAUGCAAGUCGAACGGACACAGGCCGCACGGUCCUGUCGAGUGGUGGACGGGUGAGUAAUAGUACGGCACGUGCACCGUCGCUAGGGAUCACUGCUAGAAACGGUAACCAAUACCGCAUACGAGCUAUUGAUUAGAACGGGAUGCCUUAAAAGCGCAAGCCAUUGUAGCGGCCGCUGAUAGAUUGAGUCGUGUCUGAUUAGGUAGUUGGUAAGGUAAAGGCUCACCAAGGCAACGAUGUGUAGCUGACCUGAGAGGACGACCAGCCACACUGGGACUGAGACACGGCCCAGACUCCUACGGGAGGCAGCAGUGGGGAAUUUUGGACAAUGGGCGCAAGCCUGAUCCAGCAAUGCCGCGUGCAGGAAGAAGGCCUUCGGGUUGUAAACUGCUUUUGUACGGAACGAAACUGCGCUUGUGAAUACCCGCGGCUAAUGACGGUACCGUAAGAAUAAGCACCGGCUAACUACGUG